UACGGGGGGGGCAAGCGUUGUUCGGAAUUACUGGGCGUAAAGGGCUCGUAGGCGGCCAACUAAGUCAGACGUGAAAUCCCCAGGCUCAACCUGGGAACUGCGUCUGAUACUGGAUGGCUUGAAUCCGGGAGAGGGAUGCAGAAUUCCAGGUGUAGCGGUGAAAUGCGUAGAUAUCUGGAGGAACACCGGUGGCGAAAGCGGCUCACUGGACCGUCUCUGACGCUGAGGUGCGAAAGCCAGGGUAGCGAACGGG
RNAcentral lists this ribosomal RNA (253 nucleotides) under uncultured bacterium. RNAcentral describes it as "partial 16S ribosomal RNA". It matches the Rfam family "Bacterial small subunit ribosomal RNA", at positions 524 to 776 of the family's 1533-position model. The record is from RNAcentral.